Molecule: ribosomal RNA, 492 nt
Filed under: uncultured bacterium
Lineage: Bacteria
Description: partial 16S ribosomal RNA
Rfam family: Bacterial small subunit ribosomal RNA
Source: RNAcentral
GAUGAACGCUAGCUACAGGCUUAACACAUGCAAGUCGAGGGGAAACGGCAUUGAGUGCUUGCACUCUUUGGACGUCGACCGGCGCACGGGUGAGUAACGCGUAUCCCACCUUCCCAUUACUGUGGGAUAACCUGCCGAAAGGCAGACUAAUACCGCAUAGUCUUCGAUGACGGCAUCAGAUUUGAAGUAAAGAUUUAUCGGUAAUGGAUGGGGAUGCGUCUGAUUAGCUUGUUGGCGGUGUACCGGCCCACCAAGGCUACGAUCAGUAGGGGUUCUGAGAGGAAGGGCCCCCACAGUGGAACUGAGACACGGUCCAAACUCCUACGGGAGGCAGCAGUAAGGAAUAUUGGUCAAUGGACGGAAGUCUGAACCAGCCAAGUAGCGUGCAGGAUGACGGCGCUAUGGGUUGUAAACUGCUGUUGGAUGGGGAUAAAGUUAGGGACGGGUCCCUAUUUGCAGGUACCAGACGAAUAAGGACCGGCUAAUUCCGUG